RNAcentral lists this ribosomal RNA (149 nucleotides) under uncultured Vibrio sp. Its description in RNAcentral is "partial 16S ribosomal RNA". It matches the Rfam family "Bacterial small subunit ribosomal RNA", at positions 382 to 525 of the family's 1533-position model. Lineage: Bacteria; Pseudomonadati; Pseudomonadota; Gammaproteobacteria; Vibrionales; Vibrionaceae. The record is from RNAcentral.
CCUGGAGCAGCCUGCCGCGUGUUGAAGAAGGCCUUCGGGUUGUAAAGUACUUUCAGCAGUGAGGAAGGUAGUGUAGUUAAUAGCUGCAUUAUUUGACGUUAGCUGCACAAGAAGCACCGGCUAAAUCCGUGCCAGCAGCCGCGGUAAUA